GAUUUCUGAUUGCGGAUGCCCGACCCGCCAUCUUUUCGGUGGUUGGUGUUGGCGUGUCCCGAUCAUCCUUCUAGAGAACGAUGAUGGCUCUUCACUGGGUUGUUAUCGCAAUCUAGAUCUUUUACUUUGAAAAAAUUAGAGUGUUUAAAGCAGGCUUUUGCUGUGAAUACAUUAGCAUGGAAUAAUAAUUUAGGACUUUGUUCUUAUUUUGUUGGUUUCUAAGGAUAAAGUAAUGAUUGAUAGGGAUAGUUGGGGGUGCUCAUAUUCAGCGGCCAGAGGUGAAAUUCUUGGAUUCGCUGAAGAUGAACUAAUGCGAAAGCAUU
RNAcentral lists this ribosomal RNA (323 nucleotides) under Cercomonas sp. RNAcentral describes it as "SSU rRNA". It matches the Rfam family "Eukaryotic small subunit ribosomal RNA", at positions 634 to 955 of the family's 1831-position model. Lineage: Eukaryota; Cercozoa; Cercomonadida; Cercomonadidae. The record is from RNAcentral.